Molecule: ribosomal RNA, 250 nt
Filed under: uncultured bacterium
Lineage: Bacteria
Description: partial 16S ribosomal RNA
Rfam family: Bacterial small subunit ribosomal RNA
Source: RNAcentral
UACGAAGGGAGCUAGCGUUGUUCGGAAUUACUGGGCGUAAAGGGCGUGUAGGCGGUUCGGCAAGUCAGAUGUGAAAGCCCUGGGCUCAACCCGGGAACUGCGUUUGAUACUGCCGGACUAGAAUUCGGGAGAGGUGAGUGGAAUUCCCAGUGUAGAGGUGAAAUUCGUAGAGAUUGGGAAGAACACCCGUGGCGAAGGCGGCUCACUGGACCGACAUUGACGCUGAGACGCGAAAGCGUGGGGAGCAAAC